CGCUCGAAUGCCAUCGAAGUAGAAGUAGUCAGCUGUGGGGCCCCAUGCCAGAUUGGGGAUAUGACGUGGGCAGGGGAGAGUACCCAAGCCCCAAAGCGCUGAAACGUACGCACUCGGCGAGCUUAGUGGCUCGCGAUUUUCCUAUCACGGUGUGUGUCAGCCAGUGCAUGUUAAGUUUUUUCAAGUUUUCUUGGCUUUUUCUGCUUCUCUCCCGUCUCGUUUUGAUUCUCCCCAGUAUUACAAAAACGCAAAAAAUAGAAACCCAGAAAUCAUCUGAAAAGGACCAGAAAAUCUUCUACACUGAACAAAUUCAAGCAGCAAAUUCAAUUAUUGUAUUUUUUAUUCCAUUCCGGUAUCGGGUUUUAUAUGUGUAUCCAAUUUUUUACCAUAUCUCGUGCGUCUUACUUAAGGUCUUAACGUUUCGUUAGUGUUAGCAAGCCGCGAUCGUAAGAUCUCAGCAAGAUUAGUGAGAAUUUUCUGUUUGUUUGGAUAGAACAAAUCGUGAUUUGCAAAAAUGAAUGAAAUUAACCCGGACUUGAGUUGUACAAAGGCUAACAAAGGAGUUUCCACCAGUGCGACGAAUCAAUUGAGUUCCAGUAAGCAAUCCUCGCCGUUGGCCUCAAUGUGUCCUUCAGUGACGGUGUGUGAUGAUCGCACCUCAUGCAUCUUGGGGGAGCUGAAUAAGAUCUACGAGGAACGACUGGCGGAUAUUGACGAGCAAACAAAUGGAAAUUUCGAGCUCAAAUAUCUCACUUACAAAGAAUGGGUUGAGAUGCUUUUGAAGCUAAUAAAAGACCUCAUUGAUGUCGUUCAAGAGCUUGAGUACGAAGCAUCAAGUCGUAUUGACUUGCUUGAAAAAAAAUUGCAAUCAGAAGGUGGCCAAGGAUGUAAUACAACUGAAAUUGGCAAUCUUAAAAAUGACGUAGCUAAUCUGGUGGAACUCAUCCGUCGUACCCUAGAGGAGGGCAAGUGGAAUUUAGAAGGCUUGAAUUUCAGUACGUUGAAACUAAAAGAUAUUUUUGGACAAAAAAUAGAGGUUACAGAUGCUCCUAACGUACAAGCAUACCAGAAUGAUUCACCUCGUGGUACUGAAACAAAUGACGUGAAAAAAUUAAAAUCGCAAAUUUUGUGCCGAAAUCAUGAAAUUAAGAAACUUGAAUCUGAAAAACAUACAUUAUACACUGAGUUGCAAAGAAAAGAUUUAAUGUUAUCGAACUACUCAUCAAAAAUUAAGGAACUAGAAAAAGAGUCGAAAAUACCAAAGGAUCGAAAGAAAAAUGUUACGAUCACUUCUCAGCAGGAUGAAACCUUACCUGGUACUGAUGAGGACAAAGUUUUCAAAGCAUGUAUAGCGGAGCUGAAAGAUUGCCUCCGAGAAAAGGAAGUUCAAUUGGCUGAAAAAUUAAAGCAAAAUGAAUGCCUUCAAUCAGAACUUCGAUUUUUCAAAAAUCAAGCAGGACAGAAAGAAAAGGCUGUUGCUAAUAUGCGAGCUUUAGCUUUUGAAGUAGCCGAUAAACAUGAUCAGAUGAUAGAGCUGCGAAACCAGGUCAAUUCACUGGAGGAGGAGUUGAAGAAGGCCCAUAAGAAAGUACAGUUUAAGGACAACGUUAUUCGGGAACUGCGCCGAGAAAUUAAAAAUUCCACAAAGAUCGAGGAGAACAGACCAGUAUGUCAGUGCACUAGUGGAGUGAAAGCAGAUUCUGAUACUGAACGGCAAUCAUUCAAAUCGGUGGCUUUCAACGAUUUGGAGUGUACUCAACGCACGGAUUAUACCAUGGAUACUGCUGUUGACUCGGAAAUGGCUAAAUUAGGUCAUUCCGCCAGAGCUGAAGAAGAACGUUGCAUACGUGUUCUGAAGGAAGAACUGGAUGAAUUACUUAAAUAUCAACACUGCCAUCAUGAGUCAAUAGAAGACCAAAAACGAAUGUUAGCUACACAACACGCACGAUUGAAAGAACUUACGCAUAAAAUGCUGAGUGAUCUUUCUAAGAGCCGUAACAAACUAUUUUAUCUAAGAACACACUUACUAGCUCUAAGUGAUACCAGUGGUUCUCCAGAAUUAAGUCCGAAACAGGAAGAUUCCGGAUACAUAUCGCCUGAAGACAUGGCGACUGAGUGCCAUUUGAUUGACACACUUCGAUAUCGCAUAAAUAACAUAAAAACAGAAAACGAUUGUCUCAAGGAGCAAGUUAGAAAACUAAAUAAUGAAGUGAUGAGCAAAACCUCUUCGUCCACAUGUAGAUGCAAAGGAUAUGAAAAUAGUGAUAAAAUAUUGCAGGAGGUUGCCAGUGCAUUGUCCAAUAUAUGCGGUAAAGAAGUUCCUUACGAAGUAUCCGGUAGAGCUUUAACUUGUGAAGGUGAAGUCCAUCCGAUUUGCCAAGCCAUGAUUAAUUUGGAAGCGGAAUUAAACGAGAAAAAUCAAUCAAUAUGUCGCAUGGAAGAGAGGCUAAGUGUGAAAGAAUGUGAAAUAAAAAAGUUACAAGAACAGCUAUUCGCUUUGGAGGAGGAUUGUCAUAGUAAAAACCAACAGAUCGUAGACCUACAAAUAGCAGUGGAAUUUCACGUUACCUCAGUUGAAAGGCUACAAGGCGCAAAUCAACAUUUAGAAGAUCAAUUAGCUGGCUUUAAGCGAAUGAUUAUUCAAUUGCAAUCACGAAAUGCCACAUACUUUCAAGAGUUAAAAGAAAAAGAUGCCAAAUAUAAAGAACUUUCGGACCAAUACCAAUUACUAACACAAUCUCUACAAUCCUUAAGGACAAACUGUGCCUGUGGAGCGUUGCAAAUAGUGUAUCCAGUUGUUGCCCAAGCAGAGCGUCUUGCCUACAUCCUAUCUACUGAGAAAACCGAUGAAGGCUAUGCACUACAAGAGUAUGCUAGUAUCCAGCAAAGUCAAAUCCUGGUUAACGAAAUGGACGACCAAGUGAGGACAAUGCAAAGAAAAAUUGAUUUGCUCGAAAAGACACUGGAGAAGCGCGAGCAGGAUCUCCAGGAGACCAAUGCUCGUAUGCUUCAGUGCGCCCAGCAGAAUGGUGAAUUGACCACAGAGUUGUUAAUCUUUCAAGAUCAAGUAUUUUACCUUCAAGCAGAAGACGAACGGUUGCGUGGUGUUGUAAAUCGUUUGAAUGCCGAGAUUGCUGAACUAAGGAGUAACCGAAGAGAACGGGAAAGCAGCCUUAUUGCUGAACUGAAUCGUUUGCGUCAAUCCAUGGAUCAGCAUGUUGCUGCUUUAUCGAAAGCAAAUGACACUAUCAAUUCGCUCGAAAGGCAGGCACAAGGCUAUCGGAGGCAAGGCGAUGUGGCAAACAAGGAGGUACGAGAACGCAAUGUUGAAGGCCGAGUUAUACAAGGCAAGAGAAUGUGCAGCAACGCAAGACGGCAUUGAGAAAAGUUUACGGAAUCAGUUGAUGCAGACACAGAGUGAAAUGACAUUUAUGAAGUGCGAUUUGGAACGAUAUACGUGCCUUAUGCAAGAUAUUGAAAAUUUGAAGAAACACUGCAGUCGCCUGAAAGAAGCAAAUUACGAUCUAGUUAGAAAAUAUAAUGACCUCGUGGAAGACUACAAUAAUUUAGAAGAAGAGUAUAG
This 3583-nucleotide unclassified non-coding RNA is filed under the name Hermetia illucens (black soldier fly). Its description in RNAcentral is "interaptin-like, transcript variant X1". Lineage: Eukaryota; Metazoa; Arthropoda; Insecta; Diptera; Stratiomyidae. The record is from RNAcentral.